GCUUAACCGGAGAAGGGCAUCGGAAACUGGAUAACUUGAGUGCAGAAGAGGGUAGUGGAACUCCAUGUGUAGCGGUGGAAUGCGUAGAUAUAUGGAAGAACACCAGUGGCGAAGGCGGCUACCUAGUCUGUAACUGACGCUGAGGCUCGAAAGCAUGGGUAGCAAACAGGAUUAGAUACCCUGGUAGUCCAUGCCGUAAACGAUGAAUACUAGGUGUUAGGGGGUUUCCGCCCCUUAGUGCCGCAGCUAACGCAAUAAGUAUUCCGCCUGGGGAGUACGACCGCAAGGUUGAAACUCAAAGGAAUUGACGGGGACCCGCACAAGCGGUGGAGCAUGUGGUUUAAUUCGAAGCUACGCGAAGAACCUUACCAGGGCUUGACAUCUUCUGCUAAUCCGAGAGAUCGGACGUUCCCUUCGGGGACGGAAAGACAGGUGGUGCAUGGUUGUCGUCAGCUCGUGUCGUGAGAUGUUGGGUUAAGUCCCGCAACGAGCGCAACCCUUAUGAUUAGUUGCCAGCAUUAAGUUGGGCACUCUAAUGAGACUGCCGGUGACAAACCGGAGGAAGGUGGGGACGACGUUAAAUCAUCAUGCCCCUUAUGUCCUGGGCUACACACGUGCUACAAUGGAUGGUACAACG
This 637-nucleotide ribosomal RNA is filed under the name uncultured bacterium. RNAcentral describes it as "bacterial SSU rRNA". It matches the Rfam family "Bacterial small subunit ribosomal RNA", at positions 607 to 1244 of the family's 1533-position model. The record is from RNAcentral.